RNAcentral lists this non-coding RNA (25 nucleotides) under Mus musculus (house mouse). The record is from RNAcentral. Lineage: Eukaryota; Metazoa; Chordata; Mammalia; Rodentia; Muridae. RNAcentral also lists the same sequence under 1 other name.
CAGUAGUCUGAAAUGCAAGUGCUUC